CACGUAGGGAGCAAGCGUUGUCCGGAUUUCUUGGGCGUAAAGAGCUCGUAGGUGGUUCGGUAAGUCAGGUGUGAAACCUCCAGGCUCAACCUGGAGACGCCACUUGAUACUGCUGUGACUGGAGUCCGGUAGGGGAGCGUGGAAUUCCUGGUGUAGCGGUGAAAUGCGCAGAUAUCAGGAGGAACACCAGCGGCGAAGGCGGCGCUCUGGGCCGGUACUGACACUGAGGAGCGAAAGCGUGGGUAGCAAACAGG
This 254-nucleotide ribosomal RNA is filed under the name uncultured bacterium. Its description in RNAcentral is "partial 16S ribosomal RNA". It matches the Rfam family "Bacterial small subunit ribosomal RNA", at positions 524 to 776 of the family's 1533-position model. The record is from RNAcentral.